CUGGCCAGCCCACUGAAAGCCAAGUGACUAAAGAAAAAGUGGAGGCUGGAAAAGCAAAGAGAAAGUUUGCCGGGUCGCGCGCUCACUUUCUCUUGUGCGUGAUCGGAGUAUACUCGGCAUA
Molecule: non-coding RNA, 121 nt
Filed under: Palpitomonas bilix
Lineage: Eukaryota
Source: RNAcentral